This 465-nucleotide ribosomal RNA is filed under the name Vreelandella stevensii. RNAcentral describes it as "partial 16S ribosomal RNA". It matches the Rfam family "Bacterial small subunit ribosomal RNA", at positions 338 to 795 of the family's 1533-position model. Lineage: Bacteria; Pseudomonadati; Pseudomonadota; Gammaproteobacteria; Oceanospirillales; Halomonadaceae. The record is from RNAcentral.
CCUACGGGUGGCUGCAGUGGGGAAUAUUGGACAAUGGGCGAAAGCCUGAUCCAGCCAUGCCGCGUGUGUGAAGAAGGCCUUCGGGUUGUAAAGCACUUUCAGUGGGGAAGAAAGCCUUGGGGCUAAUACCCUCGAGGAAGGACAUCACCCACAGAAGAAGCACCGACUAACUCCGUGCCAGCAGCCGCGGUAAUACGGAGGGUGCGAGCGUUAAUCGGAAUUACUGGGCGUAAAGCGCGCGUAGGCGGUCUGAUAAGCCGGUUGUGAAAGCCCCGGGCUCAACCUGGGAACGGCAUCCGGAACUGUCAGGCUAGAGUGCAGGAGAGGAAGGUAGAAUUCCCGGUGUAGCGGUGAAAUGCGUAGAGAUCGGGAGGAAUACCAGUGGCGAAGGCGGCCUUCUGGACUGACACUGACGCUGAGGUGCGAAAGCGUGGGUAGCAAACAGGAUUAGAUACCCGAGUAGUC